CGCUGGCGGCGUGCUUUACACAUGCAAGUCGAACGCGAAAAUUUUCCUCGGAAAGUGAGUAGAGUGGCGCACGGGUGAGUAACGCGUAAGUUAUCUACCUCGGCAUUCGGAAUAACUCACCGAAAGGUGUGCUAAUACCGGAUACGUUGAGUAAUCAAGAAAGGUGGCCUCUGAAUAUGCUACUGUGCUGAGAUGAGCUUGCGUACCAUUAGCUAGUUGGUAGGGUAAUGGCCUACCAAGGCAACGAUGGUUAGCGGGUCUGAGAGGAUGAUCCGCCACACUGGAACUGAAACACGGACCAGACUCCUACGGGAGGCAGCAGUGAGGAAUAUUGCACAAUGGGCGCAAGCCUGAUGCAGCAACGCCGCGUGAACGAAGAAGGCCUUCGGGUCGUAAAGUUCUUUUCUCGAGGAAGAAGAAAUGACGGUACUCGAGGAAUAAGCACCGGCUAACUACGUGCCAGCAGCCGCGGUAAUACGUAGGGUGCAAGCGUUAUCCGGAAUCACUGGGCGUAAAGGGUGCGUAGGCGGUUAGACAAGUCAGAAGUGAAAGGCAGUGGCUCAACCACUGUAAGCUUUUGAAACUGUUUAACUUGAAUGCAGGAGAGGCAAGUGGAAUUCCUAGUGUAGCGGUGAAAUGCGUAGAUAUUAGGAGGAACACCAGUGGCGAAGGCGACUUGCUGGACUGUAAUUGACGCCGAGGCACGAAAGCGUGGGGAGCAAACAGGAUUAGAUACCCUGGUAGUCC
This 747-nucleotide ribosomal RNA is filed under the name uncultured bacterium. RNAcentral describes it as "bacterial SSU rRNA". It matches the Rfam family "Bacterial small subunit ribosomal RNA", at positions 34 to 796 of the family's 1533-position model. The record is from RNAcentral.